CAGCCGCCACGGUAAAACGGGGGGGGCAAGUGUUAUUCGGAAUGACUGGGCGUAAAGGGCACGUAGGCGGUGAAAAGGGUGGAAUGUGAAAGUCGCCAAAACACUGGCGGGGUGCUUUCUUGACCAUUUCACUUGAGUGAGAUAGGGGAAAGUGGAAUUUCGUGUGGAGGGAUCAAAUCCUAAGAUAUACGAAGGAACGCCAACCGCGAAGGCAGCUCUCUGGGUCCCCACUGACGCUGGGGUGCGAAAGCAUGGGGAGAAAACAGGAUCAGAUACCCCGGUAGUCCCUGUCUCUUAUACA
Molecule: ribosomal RNA, 301 nt
Filed under: uncultured bacterium
Lineage: Bacteria
Description: partial 16S ribosomal RNA
Rfam family: Bacterial small subunit ribosomal RNA
Source: RNAcentral